Molecule: ribosomal RNA, 253 nt
Filed under: uncultured bacterium
Lineage: Bacteria
Description: partial 16S ribosomal RNA
Rfam family: Bacterial small subunit ribosomal RNA
Source: RNAcentral
UACAGAGGGUGCGAGCGUUAAUCGGAAUUACUGGGCGUAAAGCGCGCGUAGGUGGUUAGAUAAGUUGGAUGUGAAAGCCCUGGGCUUAACCUGGGAACGGCAUUCAAAACUGGCUGACUAGAGUACAGUAGAGGUGAGUGGAAUUUCCGGUGUAGCGGUGAAAUGCGUAGAGAUCGGAAGGAACACCAGUGGCGAAGGCGACUCACUGGACUGAUACUGACGCUGAGGCGCGAAGGCGUGGGGAGCAAACAGG